This 211-nucleotide non-coding RNA is filed under the name Coprobacillus sp. Its description in RNAcentral is "T-box sequence". It matches the Rfam family "T-box leader". From Rfam's summary of the family: Uncharged tRNA acts as the effector for transcription antitermination of genes in the T-box leader family. T-boxes are found upstream of many aminoacyl-tRNA synthetase genes and some amino acid biosynthetic genes usually in Gram-positive bacteria. The record is from RNAcentral. Lineage: Bacteria; Bacillati; Bacillota; Erysipelotrichia; Erysipelotrichales; Coprobacillaceae.
AAAAACUCGUUGAUAAAGAGAGUAAUUUAAUUAAGUUUCUUAGCGAACUGGCGUUGGUGAAAGGUCAGUAAACAAGAUUAAAUGAACCGCACUUUGAAGAGGACUGUUUGAACUAAUAGUAGGGCAGUCAGUAUGUCUACUUUACAGACAAGAGGGGAUAUAAGACUUUUUAUAUCAACAAGAGUGGUACCGCGGAAAUUUCGUCUCUUAG